This 72-nucleotide transfer RNA is filed under the name Camelus bactrianus (Bactrian camel). It matches the Rfam family "tRNA". From Rfam's summary of the family: Transfer RNA (tRNA) molecules are approximately 80 nucleotides in length. Their secondary structure includes four short double-helical elements and three loops (D, anti-codon, and T loops). The record is from Rfam by way of RNAcentral. Lineage: Eukaryota; Metazoa; Chordata; Mammalia; Artiodactyla; Camelidae. RNAcentral also lists the same sequence under 2 other names.
GAGGGUAUAGCUCAAUGGUACAGUGCGUGCUUAGCAUGCAUGAGGUUCUGGGUUCAGUCCCCAGUACCUCCA